This 65-nucleotide transfer RNA is filed under the name Akodon montensis. RNAcentral describes it as "tRNA-Trp". The record is from RNAcentral. Lineage: Eukaryota; Metazoa; Chordata; Mammalia; Rodentia; Cricetidae.
AGAAGUUUAGGAUAAAUAGUCCAAGAGCCUUCAAAGCCCUAAGUAAACCCUACGUUUAACUUCUG